AUUUUGGUAAGGAAGAAUAUGGACUGUCUGAUUAAGUCUCUAAGUCCAACAAGAGCACCGCAUAACGGGUGCCAUGCUCGGCUCGGCUGCGGGUGCAGUUUUGAAUAAAUGAAAGCUUGACACAAUUUUUUUUUUAAGAGGUCACAGUGACCUUGACCUUUGACCUAGUGACCCCAAAAUGGGUGUGGCGUGUAGAACUCAUCAAGGUGCAUCUA
This is a long non-coding RNA of Dreissena polymorpha, 215 nucleotides long. RefSeq lists it as uncharacterized. Lineage: Eukaryota; Metazoa; Mollusca; Bivalvia; Myida; Dreissenidae. The transcript is spliced from 2 exons. The record is from RefSeq and is a predicted model, not a curated record.